Long non-coding RNA from Pan troglodytes (chimpanzee), 3243 nucleotides. RefSeq lists it as uncharacterized. Lineage: Eukaryota; Metazoa; Chordata; Mammalia; Primates; Hominidae. The transcript has 5 exons. The record is from RefSeq and is a predicted model, not a curated record.
AUUACAGACUCGUCUUCCUGAGACACGUGCACCUGCUAAGGGAGUAGCAUUAAGGAAAUCUACAAAGUCAGCCUCUGAUUAUCAAGGUUCUUCCUUAAGGAGAAAAGGAAAAAAGCAAAAGCAAAAUAACACAUUUACUUCAAAGAACUCCUGUCUGACUGAGCGAAGGAAAAGUAGCCUCAUUGCUUUGAUCCUUUCACUGAGCAAAACAACAUGAAAAGCGAAAACAAGGCUCAAAAUAUGGGCUUUUGUUGAGCGCAUCAUUAGGAGUGUUUAUUGGCUGCUGCAAACACACAUCCCAGCCCCAGAGCACGCAGUAAGGUUUGCUCAAUGACAGCAUGAGAGCAAGCCUCACUAGCUUCCCCAGGGAAGGCAGGGCAGUUGAUUCUGAGUCUCACUCCUUUUCCAAGAGAGGGAGGAGGGACCUUAAGUUUCAAACCUCCUUGGCUCCUGGUGAGUUCAGGCUUUAGAACUACACUUGGAUUUUUAUUUAAGGCCUUGGUUUGUUUACCCUUGAUAAACACUGUCCGAUUCUUUUCUUCCCUUUGAAGAGAAAAGCUCUUGAAUAAGCUGAUGAAAAAGGCUUUUUGCAUAUCAGCUUUUUCAAAACAAUGCUGUAAUAAGUGCAAACAAAUCAGGAUACAAUGAAUUAUAUUUCCUCUUUAAAAUACAAAGUUUAAUGAAUUUAAGAUGAUGGGGAAGUGUUUUUGUGAAAGUGCUUUUCAAAUCCAGAAUACUGGGAGGUAGUUAGUACACUAAAAGUAUGGACCGAAUUUGCCUUCCUAUACUUCAGGACAGUAUUUAUCAACUGGUGUGUGUGGCCUCAGUCCUUCAGAGGUGACCUGUCACAUUUUGAUGAAUGCAUAAAGUUAAUUUGUUUUACACUGAGGACACUCCCAACAUAGCACUGAGCAGACAGAAUGUGAUGCUGAGCGGCACUGUCACCGUCUGCUACAAGGAGGUAAAAGGCAUAAUUUAAUAGUAAGCUGGCACCAAAGAAAGAUUUCAUAAUUUGGGAAAUGUGCAAACACUUUGCUUCAUGAGCACAAAAGAGAGUGUGGCCAGGUAGGAAGCAGGCCCAUACAGCAGCUCUGCUGGAAACUCCACAAAGGUGGAAGCCCAGGGUUUCUCCUAGCACUUGGAGCCCAUGGCCCCACAUGGGGCUAGACAACAACAAAUCGUUGUUCCAUAAAUGAAUGAAUGAAUGAACCUGUCACAGAGUGGCAAAGGGUGACCAAGGGGCUUGACUCUGGAUGAAAUCUGUCAAACUAGACCAGAAAACCAAAGGCUAAGAACCUUUGUUUUGAGCAGGAGAAAACCCUGUCUUUUCGACAGUCUUUUCUUAUGUUGUAUGUAUUUUCUUGCUUUGCCUCCUGUCCUGGCCUGGAAGCUCACUGAGGGCAGAGUGCUCAUCUUAACUCUUCUCUUAUUUUGAGACAGAGUCUUGCUCUGUUGCCCAGGCUGGAGUGCAGAGGUGCAAUCUCGGCUCACUGCAAUCUCUGCCUCCCAGGUUGAAGCGAUUCUCCUGCCUCAGCCUCCCAUGAAGCUGGGAUUACAAACAUGUGCCAUCAUGCCCAGCUAAUUUUUGUAUUUUAGUAGAGACAAGGUUUCACGAUGUUGGUCAGGCUGCUCUCGAACUCUUGACCUCAGGUGAUCCACCCGCCUCGGCCUCAAAAAGUGCUGGGAUUACAGGCAUGAGACACUGCGCCCAGCUACUUGUUUUAACUCUUUUGGUCUUUUUCUUCUUUUAGAGGGCAUUGUGCAUGGCAUGAGAUGCUAAAUGAUGCUGAACCCAUGAAAGAAUCCAGACUGUCAUCUUCAUCACCAUCAUUAUCACCAUCAUAUUCACCUUUGUCAUCAUUUUUAUCGUUUUCCUUCAUCAUCAACCUUCAUUAUCUGCAUCAUCUUUUUCUUCCCCUUUGUUGAUUUCAUUUUCCCUCGGGAUAGUGUUGUGCUGAUUUCUAAGUGCUUUCAUGGGUAUGAUUCUGUGGCGGUAUACACUUGUGCUCUCCGGCUGACCGGGUUAGGAUUUUCCUUGUAGUCAGCAUCAGCAUCAGCCCCUCUUCUUGGGCACCUGCUACUGGUUCUGCUUGUUCUCCUGAUUCUCCAGGCACAUCUUUAGGAAUAGGCGGCUUUAGGUGCAGUGAGGAAACAUAAGCUAGUAUUUAUUAUAGUAAAAGAGAAAUUUGUUAAAUCACUAGGCAAAAAUCAAUAAUUCAAACAAAGAAAAAGGGACUAAAAGCAAAGUUGCAUUGCUUUCAGUAAUGUAAAGUACUCUGCUUUGACCCUAUUUUGGCCAGUGUUCUUAGUGAAGAAUGCGCCAGUUCUUAAAUAUCACAUGACUUCCUUAUUAGUCUUAACAAAAUAACAAAGAACUGUGCAUAUGAGAAUGGUUAGAGCAGCCUUUUCAUCUUACUGAUAUCAAUACAAAUAAAGAGAUAUUUUGCUGCAACAGGUCCUGGCUUCAAAAAGAGCCAUAAAUGCCUGCUUUUUUUUUUUUAAUCAUUUCUGACUCUUGGUUUUCAGAGCAUUUGAUCUCUCUUCUUUCUCUCCCUAGCAUCCUCUAUCACAAGCAUGAAGUGGAGAUUCGUGGAGCCCUCGAGCCAGUUCUUUGGUUUUCAGGGCCUCUGCUCCUGUGGUCACCUGAGGACUGACUCAAGCUGAUGGAAGCCUUGACAUGUGCUCCCACCAUCUCCCUGGCAAGUGAAGAAGGUGUGAUGACUCAUGGCUUGGCUCUCUAAAGUUCAACCUUCUAUACACAAACCAUCGGUCACAGACAGUUACAUGGCCACCCUAAUUUCAAAAGAGAGAAGUACAAUCCCACCAUGUGCUCACAGAGGGGAGAACUAGGGGAAGUCAUAGAUUUGAAGCCCUUGGAGGGAUUUGGCAUGCCACUGCUGGCUCGAAGAUGGAGGCAGCCACAUGUCAAGGAGUGUGGGCAUCCUUCAGGAGCUGCGAGUAGCCCCACCUGACAGCCAGCAAGGAAACAGUGACCUCAGACCUGCAGCUGCAAUCAGUCAGCAACCUGAAUGAGCGUGGAAGCAGAUUCUUCCCUGGAGCUUUCAGGGGACAUAAGACAGUGAACAUGAAGAGAGCUGAUCUUUCUACGAAGAGCUGAAUGCUUUGGAAACACUGAACAGUAAUCACUGAAAAAUGCCAUGGAAUUAGAUAUACAAUUGUACAAAGAUUAUUCUUUCUUCGUUGAAUUACCUUGGACUCUUUGUUCAAAAUCAAUUGACCAGG